GGCUGGAUAGUCUAGUGAUUCUGGUGUUCGACUGCCAGCCGAAAGGUACUGGAUUCGAUCCCCAGUGUCCAGUCUA
Merluccius polli (Benguela hake) is the source of this 76-nucleotide non-coding RNA. Lineage: Eukaryota; Metazoa; Chordata; Actinopteri; Gadiformes; Merlucciidae. The record is from the annotation of a GenBank genome assembly.